UGUAGGGUGAGGCUGGGAGCCAGG
RNAcentral lists this microRNA (24 nucleotides) under Mus musculus (house mouse). RNAcentral describes it as "mmu-miR-7046-5p". The record is from miRBase by way of RNAcentral. Lineage: Eukaryota; Metazoa; Chordata; Mammalia; Rodentia; Muridae.